RNAcentral lists this long non-coding RNA (487 nucleotides) under Bos indicus x Bos taurus (hybrid cattle). Its description in RNAcentral is "lncRNA (ENSBIXG00000006551.1)". The record is from RNAcentral. Lineage: Eukaryota; Metazoa; Chordata; Mammalia; Artiodactyla; Bovidae.
CCCAGAAGUUGCCUCUUUAACUAAUAAAUACAGUGCCCUAGGAGGAGUGCAGGCCUGGAAAGCUGAUGGCAAUUUCAACUACAUUAAGCUUCAGCUGUGAGGCCAAGUGGACGCUAGACAGAGCGUGAAGAGUUGGCAGAAGAAAAAGGGAAAGAGAGAACCAGGAAGGGUUACAGGAGCAAAGGCCCCGUGUUUGCAGGUCUUAGGAUGUCGAAAUCCUGCCGCUGGCUCUAAAAGCCUUGGCGUCGUGGGAAACAAACAAACAAAGCAAAAACAUCUAUUCAUCUGGAUUUUAUUCAUUUGUUUUAAAUACAAACAAAAGGAGAGAGGAGACAUGGUUAUUUCUGCAGCAACUAUUUCAAAUGCAACUUAUUCCAUCGCUCCAGGUGUUCCAAUGGUGUUUGUCACCGUAAGACCCACGGGGCUAGUUCCGACCAUUAUACGAAGGAUGGAUAUGUGCAUUCGUUAUAUUCUUAGCACUCAGUCC